This 694-nucleotide ribosomal RNA is filed under the name uncultured Alphaproteobacteria bacterium. Its description in RNAcentral is "bacterial SSU rRNA". It matches the Rfam family "Bacterial small subunit ribosomal RNA", at positions 28 to 768 of the family's 1533-position model. The record is from RNAcentral. Lineage: Bacteria; Pseudomonadati; Pseudomonadota; Alphaproteobacteria.
AACGAACGCUGGCGGCAUGCCUAACACAUGCAAGUCGAACGAAGGCUUCGGCCUUAGUGGCGCACGGGUGCGUAACGCGUGGGAAUCUGCCCUUGGGUUCGGAAUAACAGUUAGAAAUGACUGCUAAUACCGGAUGAUGACGAAAGUCCAAAGAUUUAUCGCCCAGGGAUGAGCCCGCGUAGGAUUAGGUAGUUGGUGGGGUAAAGGCCUACCAAGCCGACGAUCCUUAGCUGGUCUGAGAGGAUGAUCAGCCACACUGGGACUGAGACACGGCCCAGACUCCUACGGGAGGCAGCAGUGGGGAAUAUUGGACAAUGGGCGAAAGCCUGAUCCAGCAAUGCCGCGUGAGUGAUGAAGGCCUUAGGGUCGUAAAGCUCUUUUACCAGGGAUGAUAAUGACAGUACCUGGAGAAUAAGCUCCGGCUAACUCCGUGCCAGCAGCCGCGGUAAUACGGAGGGAGCUAGCGUUGUUCGGAAUUACUGGGCGUAAAGCGCACGUAGGCGGUUAUUCAAGUCAGAGGUGAAAGCCCGGGGCUCAACCCCGGAACUGCCUUUGAAACUAGAUGACUGGAAUCUUGGAGAGGUCAGUGGAAUUCCGAGUGUAGAGGUGAAAUUCGUAGAUAUUCGGAAGAACACCAGUGGCGAAGGCGACUGACUGGACAAGUAUUGACGCUGAGGUGCGAAAGCGUGGGGAG